This is a small nucleolar RNA of Rattus norvegicus (Norway rat), 116 nucleotides long. Ensembl annotates it as small nucleolar RNA SNORA17. The record is from Ensembl. NCBI's taxonomy places the organism in Eukaryota, Metazoa, Chordata, Mammalia, Rodentia, Muridae.
UCUGCCUCUAGAGUCAUAGUGGGUGUGGGCUGCUGUGUCAUUUGGUGGCAGAGAUGAGAGAGGCUACAUCUACGUUCUGACCUGUGAGCAUCUGAAUGAUUUAAAAAACUGAUUCU